Molecule: long non-coding RNA, 813 nt
Filed under: Nicotiana benthamiana
Lineage: Eukaryota; Viridiplantae; Streptophyta; Magnoliopsida; Solanales; Solanaceae
Description: long non-coding RNA (NBEN_LNC018709)
Source: RNAcentral
AGACAAAGCUGAAACAAAAUCUGCUCAAAUCUCCCUCAUUAAAUGAUGAACGCCUAUUUUGCCGUUCAAAAUCCCACGCUCUUAAUUUCAAACGUUAGAGAUAAAAGUCUUGCCCAAAGAACUCUAGAAUUUGCCUAUAAAUACCAAGCCAUUGCAGCCAUUAAGAACAAGCUGGAGAUCCCAAAAUAUUCGGUUCAUAUCAUACUCUGCUUUUCUUUUAAUCUUUACAAUAUGUGAAAAUUUUCUUAAUAUUUAGCCUCCAUUUUUAUAAUCUCCAUACAUAAGGAGUAGCCUAAAGUUCAAUGCCCCACAAACUCAUGUAUACUUUGGGAGCAACAUGGAGCCUUAGUGCAAGACACUUCCUGCUUGCAUGGAGUCAUCCCACUCUAUCUUCUUUAACCGCAUCAGAAAAGAAGAAAACAAGCGAGAAAAUCACUUGGGGAUGCCUAUGACAUCUUUCCUAUAUUUUAUUUAUUAUUUGUUCUGUGUUAACGCUUUUAUGAUUGCUAUGUUGAAAUUCUCACUCAGAAUAGGAUUAUCAGUAAAGUUUUACUUAAUCACUUAGGGUCUUUCCUCUAUCUCAUUAUUGAAGUAAUUGUUUUAUCACAAAAAAAAAAGACAUUUUGGUCCCAGCUAACUUCCUUCCUAGAAGCAACACAGUUGUUCGAAUUUCUUCAAAUCUUGCUAUCAAAAAUUGUCACUUUUCAUGAUAACUUUUUUAGUAAAAUGUACUAUCCCUUUUAUUAUUUCCUUAAUGUUAUGAAAUAGAAGAUUCUUACACUUCUAUUUAAGGUGAAUGUCUUUAAUGUAUCU